This is a non-coding RNA of Triticum urartu, 1315 nucleotides long. Lineage: Eukaryota; Viridiplantae; Streptophyta; Magnoliopsida; Poales; Poaceae. The record is from RefSeq and is a predicted model, not a curated record.
AGAGAGAUUCCAGAGCAGCCCACCAGGCCGGCCCAUCUUCCCCCACAGCCCACCAGACCGGCCCACCUCCUCCUUAACCUAGCGCCAGGGAGAUCCUCUCAUUCGAUCCCCAUCCCCCCUUUGUCCUCCUUCCUCCUGGCGCCGCUACCACACACAAUCACACGCACGCAGCUGCUGCCUCCUGAUCCGGCGUCCCGCGACCUCCUCCGCCUUCGAUUCGGUGCCGCCGGAGGCUACCAGCGUCGCCCAGGUUCUCAACCACCACACCACCGGCCUGCUACCUCACCUCCCUGACCCGAAUUGGCUUGGUUUUGACCAUCUUUGACGCCUCAUUGCCGGAUCUCGCCGUCAAGUCCAUGUCGCCCGCUCAUGCUCCAUCGUCAGGUCAAGUCACUGUCACCCCUUGACGCCUCCUCCUGCUGCGUUCGGGCCCCCCUUGGCCAUCAACUCAAGCCACCACAACCUCGAGUGCUCUUGUCCUCCUGUCGAGAUGUGCUUGCUCCAGCCACUACCACAAGCACCAUGUUUCUUUGCUACCUCCGUGCAUCUCCGGUUGCUUCUCGCUGCACUAUCGCAUUGUUGACUCCCUCGCGGUCCGCCAAGACGCAGCCCGAGGCCUCCAUGCUCGCUGCCAAAUUCCACCUUGGCACAACUUGCACCCAAUGCAGCUGAGAUCCUCGUUGGCAGGGCAAGACCGGACCCGUCAAGUACAUGAUGAUGCAUCAAGUUCCUACGACCCGUGUACGACUACGGGGAUUCACCACGCACCCUUCGGAUGCGCCAAGUUCUACUACAUGGACCGUCAAGUUCAUUUACCGGUGACUCGAACAUCUACGAAAAUGUGUACCUCUACCGCCAUCUUCGGAAUCGCCAAGAACGCAAAGUACCCCAACGCCCGAUGCCUAGAACGACUACCGUCGAUGUGGAUCUGACAAGACCAAGUGUACGACUACCGUUGACAUGGAUUCGUCUAGUUCCUCGAUGACCGUGUACCACUACCGCUCCCCGACUACUUCCUUUUCGACUCGUGAACCACUACUUCCUCUACGAACCCGAACCGCUCCGAGAAUGCACCUGGAAGGUAUAACCGCCGAGACGAUGACCCGUGGAUGAAAGCAUGUGUUGUAUGAGAUGCAUGUUUAGAUGUUGUAUUCGCCCGUGAACAUUAGUUGUUCCUCCUCGUUGCUAUGCCGUCCACUCGUGGGAACCCGGCAAAUGGGAUCACCCCACCAUCUCUAACUUGUUCCACACAUCCGCACACUUCUCUUUUGCAUCGGUAUCUCAAUCGAGUUAUCGGAACCGAUAUGUUUCCCUA